UACGUAGGUGGCGAGCGUUGUCCGGAUUUAUUGGGCGUAAAGCGCGUGCAGGUGGUUGGUUAAGGCCGAUGUGAAAUCUCCCGGCUCACCUGGGAGGGUGCGUUGGCGACUGGCCGACUGGAGGCAGGUAGAGGCCGGUGGAAUUCCCGGUGUAGUGGUGAAAUGCGUAGAUAUCAGGAGGAACACCGGUGGCGAAGGCGGGUCUCUGGGCAGUAACUGACGCUGAGGAGCGAAAGCGUGGGGAGCGAACAGG
RNAcentral lists this ribosomal RNA (253 nucleotides) under uncultured bacterium. RNAcentral describes it as "partial 16S ribosomal RNA". It matches the Rfam family "Bacterial small subunit ribosomal RNA", at positions 524 to 776 of the family's 1533-position model. The record is from RNAcentral.